AGUUUAAGUUGUGUGCAAGUGGUAGGAGAGCGUUCUAUUUGCGUCGAAGGUAUACCGGUAAGGAGUGCUGGAGCGAAUAGAAGUGAGCAUGCAGGCAUGAGUAGCGAUAAUUAAUGUGAGAAUCAUUAACGCCGUAAACCCAAGGUUUCCUACGCGAUGCUCGUCAUCGUAGGGUUAGUCGGGUCCUAAGUCGAGUCCGAAAGGGGUAGACGAUGGCAAAUUGGUUAAUAUUCCAAUACCAACAUUAGUGUGCGAUGGAAGGACGCUUAGGGCUAAGGGGGCUAGCGGAUGGAAGUGCUAGUCUAAGGUCGUAGGAGGUUAUACAGGCAAAUCCGUAUAACAAUACUCCGAGAACUGAAAGGCUUUUUGAAGUCUUCGGAUGGAUAGAAGAACCCCUGAUGCCGUCGAGCCAAGAAAAGUUUCUAAGUUUAGCUAAUGUUGCCCGUACCGUAAACCGACACAGGUGGGUGGGAUGAGUAUUCUAAGGCGCGUGGAAGAACUCUCUUUAAGGAACUCUGCAAAAUAGCACCGUAUCUUCGGUAUAAGGUGUGGUUCGCUUCGUAUUAGGAUUUACUCCGAAAGCGAAGAAACUUACAACAAAGAGUCCCUCCCGACUGUUUACCAAAAACACAGCACUCUGCUAACUCGUAAGAGGAUGUAUAGGGUGUGACGCCUGCCCGGUGCUCGAAGGUUAAUUGAUGGGGUUAGCAUUAGCGAAGCUCUUGAUCGAAGCCCGAGUAAACGGCGGCCGUAACUAUAACGGUCCUAAGGUAGCGAAAUUCCUUGUCGGUUAAAUACCGACCUGCAUGAAUGGCGUAACGAGAUGGGAGCUGUCUCAAAGAGGGAUCCAGUGAAAUUGUAGUGGAGGUGAAAAUUCCUCCUACCCGCGGCAAGACGGAAAGACCCCGUGGACCUUUACUACAGCUUGACACUGCUAUUUGGAUAAGAAUGUGCAGGAUAGGUGGGAGGCUUUGAGUAUAUGACGCCAGUUGUAUAUGAGCCAUUGUUGAGAUACCACUCUUUCUUAUUUGGGUAGCUAACCAGCUUGAGUUAUCCUCAAGUGGGACAAUGUCUGGUGGGUAGUUUGACUGGGGCGGUCGCCUCCCAAAUAAUAACGGAGGCUUACAAAGGUUGGCUCAGAACGGUUGGAAAUCGUUCGUAGAGUAUAAAGGUAUAAGCCAGCUUAACUGCAAGACAUACAAGUCAAGCAGAGACGAAAGUCGGUCUUAGUGAUCCGGUGGUUCUGUGUGGAAGGGCCAUCGCUCAAAGGAUAAAAGGUACCCCGGGGAUAACAGGCUGAUCUCCCCCAAGAGCUCACAUCGACGGGGAGGUUUGGCACCUCGAUGUCGGCUCAUCGCAUCCUGGGGCUGGAGCAGGUCCCAAGGGUAUGGCUGUUCGCCAUUUAAAGCGGUACGCGAGCUGGGUUCAGAACGUCGUGAGACAGUUCGGUCCCUAUCUGCCGUGGGCGUAAGAAGAUUGAAGAGAUUUGACCCUAGUACGAGAGGACCGGGUUGAACAAACCACUGGUGUAGCUGUUGUUCUGCCAAGAGCAUCGCAGCGUAGCUAAGUUUGGAAAGGAUAAACGCUGAAAGCAUCUAAGCGUGAAGCCAACUCUAAGAUGAAUCUUCUCUAAGCUCUCUAGAAGACUACUAGUUUGAUAGGCUGGGUGUGUAAUGGAUGAAAGUCCUUUAGCUGACCAGUACUAAUAGAGCGUUUGGCUUAUCU
RNAcentral lists this ribosomal RNA (1725 nucleotides) under Campylobacter jejuni. RNAcentral's name for it is "bacterial LSU rRNA". It matches the Rfam family "Bacterial large subunit ribosomal RNA", at positions 1205 to 2925 of the family's 2925-position model. The record is from RNAcentral. Lineage: Bacteria; Pseudomonadati; Campylobacterota; Epsilonproteobacteria; Campylobacterales; Campylobacteraceae.